AUCUGUAUAAACUUUAGUUUAUACAAGCAAAAGACAGGGAACUCUGUGAUGAAGAAAUCUCUAAGGACUCUGAGAAGAAUGGUCCUGUACUCGAGUUUGAGUUUUAAACUAGGAAAAUGACUAAUAAUUGAAAAUAAUGGGAACUCUGUGGAAUUUUCUUUGUAUGUCAUCAUGAAAUUGCUGUGUAACAAACAACCAAGAUCCAAAAUAGCAAGACUGGGAGAGUUUGUGUGCUGCAGGAAGAGACCAACAAGAAACAGAAGAUCAGUCAGUGCAUGGGUAGAUGACAUCUGUGCAUCCCAUUGUGUGAAAAAUAAUCUGCUGAUUUUGCCCUUUGUUCUAAAAUAAAUUCAUUACAUAGGCCAAAAAAAAAAAAAAA
This 379-nucleotide long non-coding RNA is filed under the name Homo sapiens (human). RNAcentral describes it as "uncharacterized LOC105377480 (LOC105377480)". The record is from RNAcentral. Lineage: Eukaryota; Metazoa; Chordata; Mammalia; Primates; Hominidae.